RNAcentral lists this ribosomal RNA (319 nucleotides) under uncultured eukaryote. RNAcentral's name for it is "partial 18S ribosomal RNA". It matches the Rfam family "Eukaryotic small subunit ribosomal RNA", at positions 1470 to 1796 of the family's 1831-position model. The record is from RNAcentral.
CCCUUAGAUGUUCUGGGCAGCACGCGCGCUACAAUGGUCUUCGCAAACGGAUGCAUUCUCGAAGGAGAAUGCCAAUCUUGGAAUCUAUGCCUUGGUCGGGACAGUUGCUUGCAAUUUUUCGACUCGAACCAGGAAUUCCUUGUAAUCGUGAUUCAUCACAUCACGAUGAAGACGUCCCUGCCCUUUGUACACACCGCCCGUCGCUCCUACCGAUCGAAGAGUUAGGUGAAUUGUUUUGAUCGAUAAGAUUUGACUAUGGUCAACUCUCGUUGUGAAAUUCUGUGAAUCUGACUGUUUAGAGGAAGGAAAAGUCGUAACA